CUAUUGUGUUGGCCUUCG
Molecule: non-coding RNA, 18 nt
Filed under: Arabidopsis thaliana (thale cress)
Lineage: Eukaryota; Viridiplantae; Streptophyta; Magnoliopsida; Brassicales; Brassicaceae
Source: RNAcentral